This 621-nucleotide ribosomal RNA is filed under the name Mrakia frigida. RNAcentral describes it as "partial large subunit ribosomal RNA". It matches the Rfam family "Eukaryotic large subunit ribosomal RNA", at positions 52 to 656 of the family's 3401-position model. The record is from RNAcentral. Lineage: Eukaryota; Fungi; Basidiomycota; Tremellomycetes; Cystofilobasidiales; Mrakiaceae.
GGAGGAAAAGAAACUAACAAGGAUUCCCCUAGUAACGGCGAGUGAAGCGGGAUGAGCUCAAAUUUAAAAUCUGGCGGCCUCAGGUCGUCCGAGUUGUAGUCUAGAGAAUCGUUUUCCGCGUUGGCCUGUGUACAAGUCCCUUGGAACAGGGCGUCAUAGAGGGUGAGAAUCCCGUCCUUGACACAGACUACCAAUGCUUUGUGAUGCGAUCUCGAAGAGUCGAGUUGUUUGGGAAUGCAGCUCAAAAUGGGUGGUAAAUUCCAUCUAAAGCUAAAUAUUGGCGAGAGACCGAUAGCGAACAAGUACCGUGAGGGAAAGAUGAAAAGCACUUUGGAAAGAGAGUUAAACAGUACGUGAAAUUGUUAAAAGGGAAACGAUUGAAGUCAGUCAUGCUUUCCGAGACUCAGCCGAUUCUGUCGGUGUACUUCUCGGUUGGCAGGCCAGCAUCAGUUUCGAUCUGUGGAAAAGGUUGGAGGGAACGUGGCAUCCUCGGAUGUGUUAUAGCCCUUCUUCGAAUACAUAGAGCGGGACUGAGGAACGCAGCGCGCCUUUUAUUAGGUUGGCCCUCGGGUACAUACGCGCUUAGGAUGCUGGCAUAAUGGCUUUAAACGACCCGUCUUG